UAUAUAUAUAUAUAUUUUUUUUUUCCUAUUAAUGCAUUAUUGUACAUACUUUUAUUAUCUUGUGCAUUACCAGUAGCAUAUCAAAAUGUACACAUUUCUUCAUCCGUGUGUUCCGCGUGUACUUUUUUUUUUUUUUUUUUUUUUUUUCUGUUUUGACUUUUAUGCAUCUUUUGAAAAUGAUGGAUACAUUUCAAGCAUUGACGUUUUAAAUAACAUAAUUGCUACUACCAACACUAAGAACAUUAUAAAAAUAUACGACAUGAAUGAAAAAAAAGAAAAAGUAAGUUUUAAUGUUAAAGAUGUGGUAAUUAAUUAUAUUAAGCUAAUAAAAAGUAACACAAAUAAAAACGAUUCUAAUAGCGUAUACGAAGUAAAGGAAUGCUUAUUUUGUGCAUAUGAAAAUAAGAAAAAUUGUAAAAUUUAUCAUUUUAAUAUACUUGAUAAACUAGUAAUACAUAUAUUUAAUUUUGAUAAUGAAAUUGUUAAUAACAGUUUCACGUUACACCCAGAUACACAUAUAUUUAUUGUUACGUUAAAAAGUAAAGAGCUUUUAAUAUAUAAUAUUAAAAAUAAAAUAAAUAUUUAUAAAGUAAAUGUACAGACUGAAAGUUGUAUAGUUAAUUAUAAUAAAACGGGUAUUAUAUAUGCUUAUACAUUUAAUGAUAAUAUGAUUUAUUUAUGUAGUUGUUUUGGGGAUGAUUAUAAUGAUGACCAUUUUGCAGAUUUUGAUAUUUCAAAAAUAACAAAAAAUGACAACAUAUGUAUACAUAUUGAUUUUUCUUUUAAUGAAAAAAAAAUGCUUAUAGCAACAAAAUUUAAUAAUAUUUAUACAUUGGAUGCAUACACAGGGGACAUAUUAUACUCAUACAACUUUUUAUAUGAAAACAUACCCUCUUUACAAUUAAAUUCCUUUUUAUCAUACCCGACAUAUUCUUUUGAUUCGAAUUAUGUAUUAUCUGGUGGAAAAGAUGGUUACUUACAUAUUUGGGAUAUACAAGGAAAUUUUAUAUGCAAAAAAAAAAUUGAUAAUAAUGUUUUAUUUAUUAAAUGGGUAUAU
This 1057-nucleotide long non-coding RNA is filed under the name Piliocolobus tephrosceles (Ugandan red Colobus). RNAcentral describes it as "lncRNA (ENSPTEG00000014065.1)". The record is from RNAcentral. Lineage: Eukaryota; Metazoa; Chordata; Mammalia; Primates; Cercopithecidae.